RNAcentral lists this ribosomal RNA (384 nucleotides) under Leegaardiella sp. Its description in RNAcentral is "partial small subunit ribosomal RNA". It matches the Rfam family "Eukaryotic small subunit ribosomal RNA", at positions 582 to 975 of the family's 1831-position model. Lineage: Eukaryota; Ciliophora; Spirotrichea; Choreotrichida; Leegaardiellidae. The record is from RNAcentral.
AUUCCAGCUCCAAUAGCGUAUAUUAAAGUUGUUGCAGUUAAAAAGCUCGUAGUUGGAUUUCUGGCCGAGUGUCCCCAGGCCAGCAUGACGUUUGGUCCUGGGCGCUCUGCCAUCCUUCUGUCAACCUUCGCCUCGUUCAUUCGUGGCGCUGGGGCUCAGAUAUUUUGCCUUGAGAAAAUUAGAGUGUUUCAGGCAGGCUUUCGCCGGAAUACAUUAGCAUGGAAUAAUGGAAAAGGACUUCAACCUCUUCUGUUGGUUUGAGAGGCUGUAGUAAUGAUUAAUAGGGAUAGUUGGGGGUAUUCGUAUUCAAUUGUCAGAGGCGAAAUUCUUGGAUUUAUGGAAGACGAACUACUGCGAAAGCAUUUACCAAGGAUGUUUUCAUCA